GAUGAACGCUGGCGGCGUGCCUAAUACAUGCAAGUCGAGCGAACAGAUGAGGAGCUUGCUCCUCUGACGUUAGCGGCGGACGGGUGAGUAACACGUGGAUAACCUACCUAUAAGACUGGGAUAACUUCGGGAAACCGGAGCUAAUACCGGAGAAUAUAUUGAACCGCAUGGUUCAAUAGUGAAAGACGGUUUUGCUGUCACUUAUAGAUGGAUCCGCGCCGCAUUAGCUAGUUGGUAAGGUAACGGCUUACCAAGGCAACGAUGCGUAGCCGUCCUGAGAGGGGGAUCGGCCACACGGGAACUGAGACACGGUCCAGACUCCUACGGGAGGCAGCAGUAGGGAAUCUUCCGCAAUGGGCGAAAGCCUGACGGAGCAACGCCGCGUGAGUGAUGAAGGUCUUCGGAUCGUAAAACUCUGUUAUUAGGGAAGAACAAAUGUGUAAGUAACUAUGCACGUCUUGACGGUACCUAAUCAGAAAGCCACGGCUAACUACGUG
RNAcentral lists this ribosomal RNA (497 nucleotides) under uncultured bacterium. RNAcentral describes it as "partial 16S ribosomal RNA". It matches the Rfam family "Bacterial small subunit ribosomal RNA", at positions 28 to 507 of the family's 1533-position model. The record is from RNAcentral.